This 141-nucleotide microRNA precursor is filed under the name Gossypium hirsutum (cotton). RNAcentral describes it as "MIR7502 microRNA precursor family". It matches the Rfam family "MIR7502 microRNA precursor family". Lineage: Eukaryota; Viridiplantae; Streptophyta; Magnoliopsida; Malvales; Malvaceae. The record is from Rfam by way of RNAcentral.
UGUUUAAAUUUUUAUUCAUUUGUACUAUUAAAAACUAACUUGGUUGAUAGAAUGACAUGACAGUGAUACAUGUUAUGUGUACCUCGUGUUAACGUACUAUGAUAAAAUUUUAAAGAUAAAAAAUAGAUGAAAUUUUUAACC